UACGUAGGGUGCGAGCGUUGUCCGGAAUUAUUGGGCGUAAAGGGCUCGUAGGCGGUUUGUCGCGUCGGGAGUGAAAACACCGGGCUUAACUCGGUGCUUGCUUUCGAUACGGGCAGACUAGAGGCAUGCAGGGGAGAACGGAAUUCCAGGUGUAGCGGUGAAAUGCUUAGAUAUCUGGAGGAACACCGGUGGCGAAGGCGGCAUCCUGGACCAACACUGACACUGAGGAGCGAAAGCCAGGGGAGCAAACGGG
RNAcentral lists this ribosomal RNA (253 nucleotides) under uncultured bacterium. Its description in RNAcentral is "partial 16S ribosomal RNA". It matches the Rfam family "Bacterial small subunit ribosomal RNA", at positions 524 to 776 of the family's 1533-position model. The record is from RNAcentral.